This 507-nucleotide ribosomal RNA is filed under the name uncultured bacterium. RNAcentral describes it as "partial 16S ribosomal RNA". It matches the Rfam family "Bacterial small subunit ribosomal RNA", at positions 30 to 523 of the family's 1533-position model. The record is from RNAcentral.
AUUGAACGCUGGCGGCAUGCCUAACACAUGCAAGUCGAACGGCAGCACAGUAUGUAGCAAUACAUAUGGGUGGCGAGUGGCGGACGGGUGCGUAAUAUGUAGGGAUCUGCCCUGAAGCGGGGGACAACCCGGGGAAACCCGGGCUAAUACCGCAUAAUACUCUACGGAGGAAAUCUGGCACGCAAGUGCUGGGGCUUUAGGAUGAACCUACAUCCGAUUAGCUAGUUGGUGAGGUAAUAGCUCACCAAGGCAAUGAGCGGUAGCUGGUCUGGGAGGAUGACCAGCCACAGUGGGACUGAGACACGGACCAGACUCCUACGGGAGGCAGCAGUGGGGAAUAUUGGACAAUGGGGGAAACCCUGAUCCAGCAAUGCCGCGUGGGUGAAGAAGGCCUUCGGGUUGUAAAGCCCUUUAGGCGGGGAAGAAGGUUAUAGGGUGAUAAGCCUUAUAGCUUGACGGUACCCGCAGAAUAAGCACCGGCUAACUCUGUGCCAGCCGCCGCCGUAA